RNAcentral lists this ribosomal RNA (433 nucleotides) under uncultured bacterium. RNAcentral describes it as "partial 16S ribosomal RNA". It matches the Rfam family "Bacterial small subunit ribosomal RNA", at positions 29 to 507 of the family's 1533-position model. The record is from RNAcentral.
AACGAACGCUGGCGGCAUGCCUAACACAUGCAAGUCGAACGAGACCUUCGGGUCUAGUGGCGCACGGGUGCGUAACGCGUGGGAACCUGCCCUUAGGUUCGGAAUAACUCCCCGAAAGGGGUGCUAAUACCGGAUAAUGUCUUCGGACCAAAGAUUUAUCGCCUUUGGAUGGGCCCGCGUUGGAUUAGCUAGUUGGUAGGGUAAAAGCCUACCAAGGCGACGAUCCAUAGCUGGUCAGAGAGGAUGGUCAGCCACACUGGGACUGAGGAACGGCCCAGACUCCUACGGGAGGCAGGAGUGGGGAAUAAUGGAAAAUGGGGGGAAGGCUGAACCAGCAAUGCCGGGUGAGUGAUGAAGGCCUUAGGGUUGUAAAGCUCUUUUAACCGGGAUGGUAAUGACCGUACCGGGAGAAUAAGCACCGGCUAACUUCGUG